Long non-coding RNA from Cotesia glomerata, 868 nucleotides. RefSeq lists it as uncharacterized. Lineage: Eukaryota; Metazoa; Arthropoda; Insecta; Hymenoptera; Braconidae. The record is from RefSeq and is a predicted model, not a curated record. The transcript is spliced from 6 exons.
UUAUUUUUCAUUAAAAAAGUCAUAAUAAAUCACGAAUCUUUGCAAAUAAGAUAAUCGACUUCGCGUAAAUAUUUGAGGUGAAUGAACAGCACGAUUAUGAUACUUUCAUUCAUCCGUCGUGGAAUUUUUAAAGGAUUUUUUAUGGAUACUACAAAGAGUCAUUUUUAUUUUGUAUAGUAAUUAGACUUUUCCAUUGUUAAUGAUAAAUUAUUUAAUGUUGACAUUAAUUUAAAUAAUUUUUGUUGGUUUAGUAUUAGAUAAUUUUUUUAUUCAUGUUAAAGUGAUAAUUUAGGUUCAAUGCUCGUGUAAAUAAUUGUCAAAAUUAAUAAAAUCGGGAGUUUUAUUGAUAUGAGUCGAGUUUUAAAAUUAAAGGAUUUCUAUUGAUUUUGAUGGUGAUAUGCUAGCCAAUAUAUAAGGGAUCAAUGGUUGAUGAACAUGCUGUUCCAGAUUCAGCUGAAUCACAAAUCAACUUAUCGACAGUGAAAUCAUGCGUAGUACUGCGACGUAAAGGACGGGAUUAAACUUCGAAGUGAAGAACGAGGUCAACUAUCGAUAACACGGAUCAAGAUCCACCAGCUACGCCUCGGGGAGCACCUUAAUAGCCGGAACGGAGCGUAGUAUGUCGAAGAGGUAUUUAUUAUACAAUCCACUAAAUAAAAAAAGGGCCUGAAGACUGAAUGAUGCACCAACUCGAGAGGUUAACCAAACAGCGCUUACAAUGCCGAUCAUAUGUUCUACAAACGACGAUUGCUGUACCAAAAAGUGUCUGUAUGUCAAUGAUCGAGCCCAAGCAAUGUGCGUUUUGGAGAUUGAAAAUCCUUCUGAUUUUUCUAAGUCGUCACCGCUAGUUUAUGCUAUCUCUUUUGGU